CGGGUGAGUAAGAUUUGGGAAACUACCUGAUAGAGGGGGACAACAGUUGGAAACGACUGCUAAUACCGCAUACAGCCUUAGGGUGAAAGAAGAAAUUCGCUAUCAGAUGUGCCCAAACGGGAUUAGCUAGUAGGUGAGGUAAAGGCUCACCUAGGCGACGAUCUCUAGCUGGUCUGAGAGGAUGAUCAGCCACAUUGGGACUGAGACACGGCCCAGACUCCUACGGGAGGCAGCAGUAGGGAAUAUUGCACAAUGGAGGAAACUCUGAUGCAGCCAUGCCGCGUGUGUGAAGAAGGCCUUCGGGUUGUAAAGCACUUUCGGAGGGGAGGAAGUAAAUGACGUUACCCUCAGAAGAAGCACCGGCUAACUCCGUGCCAGCA
Molecule: ribosomal RNA, 380 nt
Filed under: uncultured bacterium
Lineage: Bacteria
Description: bacterial SSU rRNA
Rfam family: Bacterial small subunit ribosomal RNA
Source: RNAcentral